Molecule: ribosomal RNA, 329 nt
Filed under: uncultured eukaryote
Lineage: Eukaryota
Description: partial 18S ribosomal RNA
Rfam family: Eukaryotic small subunit ribosomal RNA
Source: RNAcentral
CCCUUAGAUGUUCUGGGCCGCACGCGCGCUACACUGACGAAUGCAACGAGCUUAUAACCUUGGCCGAAAGGUCUGGGUAAUCUCCAAAUUUCGUCGUGAUGGGGAUAGAUUAUUGCAAUUAUUAAUCUUCAACGAGGAAUGCCUAGUAAGCGCAAGUCAUCAGCUUGCGUUGAUUACGUCCCUGCCCUUUGUACACACCGCCCGUCGCUCCUACCGAUUGAAUGAUUUAGUGAGGACUUCGGACUGGGACCGAUGCGGCUUUCGGGCUGCGUCGGUAUUCUGGAAAGAUGUCCAAACUGUAUCAUUUAGAGGAAGUAAAAGUCGUAACA